GGAAACCGAGUCUUAAUUGGGCGUUAAGUUGCAGGGUAUAGACCCGAAACCCGGUGAUCUAGCCAUGGGCAGGUUGAAGGUUGGGUAACACUAACUGGAGGACCGAACCGACUAAUGUUGAAAAAUUAGCGGAUGACCUGUGGCUGGGGGUGAAAGGCCAAUCAAACCGGGAGAUAGCUGGUUCUCCCCGAAAGCUAUUUAGGUAGCGCCUCGUGAAUUCAUCUCCGGGGGUAGAGCACUGUUUCGGCUAGGGGGCCAUCCCGGCUUACCAACCCGAUGCAAACUGCGAAUACCGGAGAAUGUUAUCACGGGAGACACACGGCGGGUGCUAACGUCCGUCGUGAAGAGGGAAACAACCCAGACCGCCAGCUAAGGUCCCAAAGUCAUGGUUAAGUGGGAAACGAUGUGGGAAGGCCCAGACAGCCAGGAUGUUGGCUUAGAAGCAGCCAUCAUUUAAAGAAAGCGUAAUAGCUCACUGGUCGAGUCGGCCUGCGCGGAAGAUGUAACGGGGCUAAACCAU
This 520-nucleotide ribosomal RNA is filed under the name Salmonella enterica subsp. enterica serovar Senftenberg. RNAcentral's name for it is "partial 23S ribosomal RNA". It matches the Rfam family "Bacterial large subunit ribosomal RNA", at positions 672 to 1190 of the family's 2925-position model. The record is from RNAcentral. RNAcentral also lists the same sequence under 1 other name. Lineage: Bacteria; Pseudomonadati; Pseudomonadota; Gammaproteobacteria; Enterobacterales; Enterobacteriaceae.